AGAGUUUGAUCCUGGCUCAGGAUGAACGCUGGCGGCGUGCUUAACACAUGCAAGUCGAACGGGGUUAUCAUUUUUGAAGCGAUUAGCUUGCUAAGAGUGGAAAAGUUGAUAACUUAGUGGCGGACGGGUGAGUAACGCGUGGGUAACCUGCCUUACACAGGGGGAUAACACUUAGAAAUAGGUGCUAAUACCGCAUAAGCGCACAGUCCCGCAUGGGACAGAGUGAAAAACAUUAGUGGUGUAAGAUGGACCCGCGUCUGAUUAGCUUGUUGGCGGGGUAACGGCCCACCAAGGCGACGAUCAGUAGCCGGCCUGAGAGGGUGGACGGCCACAUUGGGACUGAGACACGGCCCAAACUCCUACGGGAGGCAGCAGUGGGGGAUAUUGGACAAUGGGGGAAACCCUGAUCCAGCGACGCCGCGUGAGUGAAGAAGUAUUUCGGUAUGUAAAGCUCUAUCAGCAGGGAAGAAAGAAAUGACGGUACCUGAGUAAGAAGCCCCGGCUAACUACGUGCCAGCAGCCGCGGUAAUACGUAGGGGGCAAGCGUUAUCCGGAAUUACUGGGUGUAAAGGGAGCGUAGACGGUAAUGCAAGUCUGGAGUGAAAGGCGGGGGCCCAACCCCCGGACUGCUCUGGAAACUGUGUAACUGGAGUGC
Molecule: ribosomal RNA, 655 nt
Filed under: uncultured bacterium
Lineage: Bacteria
Description: bacterial SSU rRNA
Rfam family: Bacterial small subunit ribosomal RNA
Source: RNAcentral